Non-coding RNA from Peromyscus maniculatus bairdii (prairie deer mouse), 705 nucleotides. The record is from RefSeq and is a predicted model, not a curated record. Lineage: Eukaryota; Metazoa; Chordata; Mammalia; Rodentia; Cricetidae.
UCCCGUUUAAGGUCCAGCGCUCUGCGUCACCCUUUUCUCAGCACUCUGACCAGCCACAAGCCAUGGCGUUCACUGUUGCCUGAAGACGCUUAGUGCAAAUCUAUUCAUAAAUUCCCACGACUGGGAAGCAGUCAAGAUGUCUUGCAGGAGGUGAGUAAGACCCAGCAAGCAAUGAAAUAUUAUUCGGCCAUAAAGAGACGCGUGUUUUUAAGCCGUGAACAGAUGUGGAGGACUCUUGCAGGAAAGAAGGCAGUCUGGGAAAGCCACAUGCGGCGUCAUUCGAACCCUAUGACAUUCUGGAAAAGCGAAACCAUUGAGGCAGUGAACCGUGCUCCCCGGGGAUCGGAGAUGAAGGAGGGAAGAGUUGGCCGAGCACACAGGAUUUUAGGGCAGUGAGACGGUUCUGUAGAAUACUGUGAUGGUGGAUUUGGGACACUAUACAUUUGUCCAGACUAUGAACAGAAGGAACCCUAAUGUGAGCUAUGGACUCUGGCAGAUAACCUCUGCCUGAAGCCGCGGAUGUAGCGGGACAAGGGAGAGCGCUUUUGAAGAUUAUGAUGGGCAAGAGCGACCUCUGCUGGGCGAAUGGGACAUACUCACACGCGCCCUGGACUAACCCAGAAAUUACGAAAUGCUUGUGGAGGUCCUGCCUCCAGGUUCCUGCCUCCAGGUUCCUGCCUCCAGGUUCCUGCCUCUAGGUUUCUG